Molecule: ribosomal RNA, 468 nt
Filed under: uncultured bacterium
Lineage: Bacteria
Description: partial 16S ribosomal RNA
Rfam family: Bacterial small subunit ribosomal RNA
Source: RNAcentral
GACGAACGCUGGCGGCGUGCUUAACACAUGCAGGUCGAACGGAAAGGCCCUGCUUUUGUGGGGUGCUCGAGUGGCGAACGGGUGAGUAACACGUGAGUAACCUGCCCUUGACUUUGGGAUAACUUCAGGAAACUGGGGCUAAUACCGGAUAGGAGCUCCUGCUGCAUGGUGGGGGUUGGAAAGUUUCGGCGGUUGGGGAUGGACUCGCGGCUUAUCAGCUUGUUGGUGGGGUAGUGGCUUACCAAGGCUUUGACGGGUAGCCGGCCUGAGAGGGUGACCGGCCACAUUGGGACUGAGAUACGGCCCCGACUCCUACGGGAGGCAGCAGUGGGGAAUAUUGCACAAUGGGCGGAAGCCCGAUGCAGCAACGCCGCGUGCGGGAUGACGGCCUUCGGGUUGUAAACCGCUUUCGCCUGUGACGAAGCGUGAGUGACGGUAAUUGGUAAAGAAGCACCGGCUAACUACGUG